UACAGAGGGUGCAAGCGUUGUUCGGAAUUAUUGGGCGUAAAGGGAGUGUAGGCGGUUGACUAAGUUUUCCGUGAAAUCUGCGGGCUCAGCCUGUCAAAGUGCGGAGAAAACUGGUCGACUUGAGUGUCAGAGAGGAUAGCGGAAUUCCCGGUGUAGAGGUGAAAUUCGUAGAGAUCGGGAGGAACACCAGUGGCGAAGGCGGCUAUCUGGCUGACAACUGACGCUGAGACUCGAAAGCAUGGGGAGCAAACAGG
This 254-nucleotide ribosomal RNA is filed under the name uncultured bacterium. RNAcentral's name for it is "partial 16S ribosomal RNA". It matches the Rfam family "Bacterial small subunit ribosomal RNA", at positions 524 to 776 of the family's 1533-position model. The record is from RNAcentral.